UACAGAGGGGGCGAGCGUUGUUCGGAAUUACUGGGCGUAAAGGGCGCGUAGGCGGCCUGCUAUGUCGAACGUGAAAUCCCCGGGCUCAACCCGGGAACUGCGUCCGAAACUGGCAGGCUUGAAUCCGGGAGAGGGAUGUGGAAUUCCAGGUGUAGCGGUGAAAUGCGUAGAUAUCUGGAGGAACACCUGUGGCGAAGGCGGUUCUCUGGGCAUUACCUGACGCUGAGGAGCGAAAGUGUGGGGAGCGAACAGG
Molecule: ribosomal RNA, 253 nt
Filed under: uncultured bacterium
Lineage: Bacteria
Description: partial 16S ribosomal RNA
Rfam family: Bacterial small subunit ribosomal RNA
Source: RNAcentral